Molecule: ribosomal RNA, 160 nt
Filed under: Sarocladium kiliense
Lineage: Eukaryota; Fungi; Ascomycota; Sordariomycetes; Hypocreales; Sarocladiaceae
Description: partial large subunit ribosomal RNA
Rfam family: Eukaryotic large subunit ribosomal RNA
Source: RNAcentral
CGGCAACAGCUCAAAUUUGAAAUCUGGCCGCAAGGUCCGAGUUGUAAUUUGUAGAGGAUGCUUUUGGCGAGGUGCCUUCCGAGUUCCCUGGAACGGGACGCCAUAGAGGGUGAGAGCCCCGUACGGUAGGACCACCAAGCCUCUGUAAAGCUCCUUCGAC